Molecule: ribosomal RNA, 253 nt
Filed under: uncultured bacterium
Lineage: Bacteria
Description: partial 16S ribosomal RNA
Rfam family: Bacterial small subunit ribosomal RNA
Source: RNAcentral
UACAGAGGUCUCAAGCGUUGUUCGGAUUCAUUGGGCGUAAAGGGUGCGUAGGUGGCGCGAUAAGUCGGGUGUGAAAUCUCGGAGCUUAACUCCGAAAUUGCAUUCGAUACUGCCGUGCUCGAGGACUGGAGAGGAGACUGGAAUUCAUGGUGUAGCAGUGAAAUGCGUAGAGAUCAGGAGGAAGACCAGUGGCGAAGGCGGGUCUCUGGACAGUUCCUGACACUGAGGCACGAAGGCCAGGGGAGCAAACGGG